ACAUAGCCCCCUAAAUCAUAAGAGGUGUAACCUGCCCAGUGGUUUAAAUAAUCUCCACAAAGGAGAGUAAAUAAUUAAACGGCCGCGGAAUCCUAACCGUGACAAUGUAGCACAAUCAAUUGCCACUUAAUUGGUGGAUAGUAUGAAUGGUUUAACGAAUAUUACACUGUCUCUAAUAAAGAUCUAAAAAAAUUAAUAUAGUAGUGAAGAUUCUACUUAAAAAGGCAAGACGAAAAGACCCUAUAGAGCUUAACUAUAACUUCUAUUCAACUAAAAUAGAAAUUGGUAGUUUAGUUGGGGCGACUACUUUCUACAAUCAACGAAAGUAAGCAAUGUUAUUAAUAAUUCUUACUGUUUAAUAAACUAAUUUAACAGUUACUAAAGUAGGCUUAAUUGACCUGAUAGUACUUAAAAUAGAGACUAACGAUCACUGAAUAAAAGCUACCUUAGGGAUAACAGGGAAAUUCUGCAAUAGAGAUCCGAUCGACUGCAGAGCUUACCACCUCUAUGUUGAAUUGGGAUAUCCAAGUUGUGCAGCAGCAACUAAGGGUAGGUCUGUUCGACCUUUAAAAUCCUACAUGAUUUGAGUUCAUUCCGUCGCAAGACAGG
RNAcentral lists this ribosomal RNA (609 nucleotides) under Turritopsoides sp. GMx166. Its description in RNAcentral is "partial 16S ribosomal RNA". It matches the Rfam family "Bacterial large subunit ribosomal RNA", at positions 1813 to 2630 of the family's 2925-position model. Lineage: Eukaryota; Metazoa; Cnidaria; Hydrozoa; Anthoathecata; Oceaniidae. The record is from RNAcentral.